Gorilla gorilla gorilla (western lowland gorilla) is the source of this 1147-nucleotide long non-coding RNA. RefSeq lists it as uncharacterized. Lineage: Eukaryota; Metazoa; Chordata; Mammalia; Primates; Hominidae. The transcript is spliced from 3 exons. The record is from RefSeq and is a predicted model, not a curated record.
CUCCCUCAGGCCCAGAAGAAGCUGCGACGGAGGCACAUGACAAGCUUGAAGAUGCUUUUAUUGAGAAGGAGAGGGACUGAACAGAUUCUUGACAAGCCUAGGCAUAAAUGCUCCAGGUUUGGGAAAGAGCAGCUGCAGCCAGCCGUCCCUGACCUGCAGGAUCAAGUCUUGGCUCCACACCCGGCCCUGUGCAUCCAUCUCGAACAGCUUCUGCAAGGCAUCCUCAGGCCCCUGGACUCUCUGACUCCCCUGCUUGCAUGUCAUCAAGUGCUGCAGGGAGAGGGAGAGUCCUAGGACUGGGAGAAAGCUCAGAGAGGGGGACCACAGGCGUGCUGGGUAGAGAAAAGCAGAAGAGGAAGAAGACGUGUCCUCGGCCCCCUUGAGUGAAUAGCCAUGGAGCUCCUAAAAAGAAUGGGACCUUUCACUUGACCUCCCUUCUCUCCCUUGCCUACUGCCCCUGAGCGAGUGCUUCAGCUACAGUCUGGGAGCCGAAGAUGCCUGUGUUUGAUGCCUCCAGCACCCUGUCUCUGCAUCUCGAAUCCAGCCACGUGACCAUCUCUUGCCCACCUUUGGCCAAUGUCCCUGAGACAUUUCAAGUGCAUCAUGCUGCAGACUGGGGCUGCUGUCUCCACAAUACCGUGCUUUCCCUGUGUCCCCAUCUCAGUCUUUGGUCCCACUAUCCACUUCCCACAUGCAGCCACUGAGUCCUCUAUUUUUCUUCCUUAAAUCUCCAGAAUCUGCUGACAGUUUUACUUCUCUGUUAUUACUGCUUUAAUUCAGACCCCACCCCCCACCCCACCACAGUCCUUUACCCCUUAUUCCCCCACACCCUCCCGAGCCUUUCCCGCCAUCUCCUUUCCAGGGGAUACACCCUUCUGAGCUCUCUCCAGCUCUGCCCAACAGAGUUUUCUAAAAUUCCGAUCUGCACAUGUCACUCCCUGGCUUAUAAAUCCUUCAGUUGCUCCCAUGCUUUAAAAGAAAAUCAUACACCUUGACUUUGCACAUGGCAUUUGAGCUCUGCCUCUGCUGGUUACCAGGUCUCACCCUGCUGCUGCAAACCCAGACACAAAGACAACCCAAAGCUCCCUGAAGGCACCUGCAGCACUUUGCCUCUCCACACCUUGCUGCUGCGUCGGCCUCCCUGCUU